GUGGUGGUGUGGGUUGGCGCGGCGGGGGUGGUGAUGAAAGCAGCACACCAGGAUUCUCCAAUUUCUUUUCAGCAACAAUUGAGUUGUUGGUUUUUCGAGCAGAAACAUGAUGAUCAGCUUCUUUGUCAUCAGAACUGCUACUAGUACUAGUACUCUCUGUAUCACUAUCACUUCCAGAACUCCUGAAAAAAAUUAAAAAAUCAGCAUAAAUAUAUAACGACAAUAAUGAGCAUGCCAG
This 238-nucleotide unclassified non-coding RNA is filed under the name Hevea brasiliensis (rubber tree). The record is from RNAcentral. Lineage: Eukaryota; Viridiplantae; Streptophyta; Magnoliopsida; Malpighiales; Euphorbiaceae.